Molecule: ribosomal RNA, 337 nt
Filed under: Enterobacter hormaechei subsp. steigerwaltii
Lineage: Bacteria; Pseudomonadati; Pseudomonadota; Gammaproteobacteria; Enterobacterales; Enterobacteriaceae
Description: partial 23S ribosomal RNA
Rfam family: Bacterial large subunit ribosomal RNA
Source: RNAcentral
GCGCGAGCAGGUGCGAAAGCAGGUCAUAGUGAUCCGGUGGUUCUGAAUGGAAGGGCCAUCGCUCAACGGAUAAAAGGUACUCCGGGGAUAACAGGCUGAUACCGCCCAAGAGUUCAUAUCGACGGCGGUGUUUGGCACCUCGAUGUCGGCUCAUCACAUCCUGGGGCUGAAGUAGGUCCCAAGGGUAUGGCUGUUCGCCAUUUAAAGUGGUACGCGAGCUGGGUUUAGAACGUCGUGAGACAGUUCGGUCCCUAUCUGCCGUGGGCGCUGGAGAAUUGAGGGGGGCUGCUCCUAGUACGAGAGGACCGGAGUGGACGCAUCACUGGUGUUCGGGUUG